RNAcentral lists this ribosomal RNA (1608 nucleotides) under Salmonella enterica subsp. enterica serovar Javiana. RNAcentral describes it as "partial 23S ribosomal RNA". It matches the Rfam family "Bacterial large subunit ribosomal RNA", at positions 1211 to 2802 of the family's 2925-position model. Lineage: Bacteria; Pseudomonadati; Pseudomonadota; Gammaproteobacteria; Enterobacterales; Enterobacteriaceae. The record is from RNAcentral.
ACUCAGGUGUUGUUGGGUAGGGGAGCGUUCUGUAAGCCUGUGAAGGUGGCCUGUGAGGGUUGCUGGAGGUAUCAGAAGUGCGAAUGCUGACAUAAGUAACGAUAAAGCGGGUGAAAAGCCCGCUCGCCGGAAGACCAAGGGUUCCUGUCCAACGUUAAUCGGGGCAGGGUGAGUCGACCCCUAAGGCGAGGCCGAAAGGCGUAGUCGAUGGGAAACGGGUUAAUAUUCCCGUACUUGGUGUUACUGCGAAGGGGGGACGGAGAAGGCUAUGUUGGCCGGGCGACGGUUGUCCCGGUUUAAGCGUGUAGGUGUGUGUUCCAGGUAAAUCCGGUUCACUUUAACACUGAGGCGUGACGACGAGGCACUACGGUGCUGAAGCAACAAAUGCCCUGCUUCCAGGAAAAGCCUCUAAGCAUCAGGUAACAUCAAAUCGUACCCCAAACCGACACAGGUGGUCAGGUAGAGAAUACCAAGGCGCUUGAGAGAACUCGGGUGAAGGAACUAGGCAAAAUGGUGCCGUAACUUCGGGAGAAGGCACGCUGACACGUAGGUGAAGUGAUUUACUCAUGGAGCUGAAGUCAGUCGAAGAUACCAGCUGGCUGCAACUGUUUAUUAAAAACACAGCACUGUGCAAACACGAAAGUGGACGUAUACGGUGUGACGCCUGCCCGGUGCCGGAAGGUUAAUUGAUGGGGUCAGCGCAAGCGAAGCUCCUGAUCGAAGCCCCGGUAAACGGCGGCCGUAACUAUAACGGUCCUAAGGUAGCGAAAUUCCUUGUCGGGUAAGUUCCGACCUGCACGAAUGGCGUAAUGAUGGCCAGGCUGUCUCCACCCGAGACUCAGUGAAAUUGAACUCGCUGUGAAGAUGCAGUGUACCCGCGGCAAGACGGAAAGACCCCGUGAACCUUUACUAUAGCUUGACACUGAACAUUGAGCCUUGAUGUGUAGGAUAGGUGGGAGGCUUUGAAGUGUGGACGCCAGUCUGCAUGGAGCCGACCUUGAAAUACCACCCUUUAAUGUUUGAUGUUCUAACGUGGACCCGUGAUCCGGGUUGCGGACAGUGUCUGGUGGGUAGUUUGACUGGGGCGGUCUCCUCCUAAAGAGUAACGGAGGAGCACGAAGGUUGGCUAAUCCUGGUCGGACAUCAGGAGGUUAGUGCAAUGGCAUAAGCCAGCUUGACUGCGAGCGUGACGGCGCGAGCAGGUGCGAAAGCAGGUCAUAGUGAUCCGGUGGUUCUGAAUGGAAGGGCCAUCGCUCAACGGAUAAAAGGUACUCCGGGGAUAACAGGCUGAUACCGCCCAAGAGUUCAUAUCGACGGCGGUGUUUGGCACCUCGAUGUCGGCUCAUCACAUCCUGGGGCUGAAGUAGGUCCCAAGGGUAUGGCUGUUCGCCAUUUAAAGUGGUACGCGAGCUGGGUUUAGAACGUCGUGAGACAGUUCGGUCCCUAUCUGCCGUGGGCGCUGGAGAACUGAGGGGGGCUGCUCCUAGUACGAGAGGACCGGAGUGGACGCAUCACUGGUGUUCGGGUUGUCAUGCCAAUGGCACUGCCCGGUAGCUAAAUGCGGAAGAGAUAAGUGCUGAAAGCAUCUAAGCACGAAACUUGCCCCGA